GACGAACGCUGGCGGCGUGCUUAACACAUGCAAGUCGAACGGAAAGGCCCUGCUUUUGUGGGGUGCUCGAGUGGCGAACGGGUGAGUAACACGUGAGUAACCUGCCCUUGACUUUGGGAUAACUUCAGGAAACUGGGGCUAAUACCGGAUAGGAGCUCCUGCUGCAUGGUGGGGGUUGGAAAGUUUCGGCUGUUGGGGAUGGACUCGCGGCUUAUCAGCUUGUUGGUGGGGUAGUGGCUUACCAAGGCUUUGACGGGUAGCCGGCCUGAGAGGGUGACCGGCCACAUUGGGCCUGAGAUACGGACCAGACUCCUACGGGAGGCAGCAGUGGGGAAUAUUGCACAAUGGGCGGAAGCCUGACGCAGCAACGCCGCGUGCGGGAUGACGGCCUUCGGGUUGUAAACCGCUUUCGCCUGUGACGAAGCGUGAGUGACGGUAAUGGGUAAAGAAGCACCGGCUAACUACGUG
Molecule: ribosomal RNA, 468 nt
Filed under: uncultured bacterium
Lineage: Bacteria
Description: partial 16S ribosomal RNA
Rfam family: Bacterial small subunit ribosomal RNA
Source: RNAcentral